RNAcentral lists this ribosomal RNA (320 nucleotides) under uncultured eukaryote. Its description in RNAcentral is "partial 18S ribosomal RNA". It matches the Rfam family "Eukaryotic small subunit ribosomal RNA", at positions 1470 to 1796 of the family's 1831-position model. The record is from RNAcentral.
CCCUUAGAUGUUCUGGGCCGCACACGCGCUACACUGAAGGAGGCAGCGUGUACUCCUGGAUCGAAAGAUUUGGGUAACCCGCGAAUCUCCUUCGUGCUAGGGAUUGAGGUUUGCAAUUAUCCUUCAUGAACGAGGAAUUCCUAGUAAGCGCAAGUCAACAGCUUGCGCUGAUUACGUCCCUGCCCUUUGUACACACCGCCCGUCGCUCCUACCGAUUGGGUGAUCCGGUGAAUGGUUCGGACUCUGGCUAUGCUAGCUACUAGCUACGUCAGGGAAAGUUCUGUGAACCUUAUCACUUGGAGGAAGGAGAAGUCGUAACA